Molecule: long non-coding RNA, 961 nt
Organism: Helianthus annuus (common sunflower)
Lineage: Eukaryota; Viridiplantae; Streptophyta; Magnoliopsida; Asterales; Asteraceae
Exons: 9
Source: RefSeq, a predicted model, not a curated record
GUUUUGUGUUGCUGCAAAUGUUUUGUUUCAUAGGACUUGUGUGAGCUGGAACAUAUGGAUUGAUAGUGCUACUGUGCAAGAUAUGGAGCUGGAGAAACGGUAACGGGAACUUACGGAUUUGUUGAAGUAAUUACAAGCGAAAAGGUGGCAGCAGAGUUCCAAUUCGAAAAGGAGAUGAAGCGUAUUAAAGAAGCUCAGGUAGAAGUAGAAAGAAGCAGAGUCCCUCGACGCGCAUCAACAAGUUGGGAACGGGAAGAAGACACCGACAUGAAAGACCUUGAGCAUCUCCCCUUUCAUCGUCGCCACUUGGUUGGGGCAAGCAUACAGCUUCAGAAGGCUACAAAAUUUUUAGACUUUGGUGUCGUCAGGGCUAUGAGGUUUCUAUAUUCAAAGUUCAGAUCUCUAGCAAGAUAUGGUAUCCUACAUUUACUUAAUCAUGCAAGAACUCAAAGCUAGAGGAAUCAACCAGCGGCAGUUCAACCACACACAACUCGGGCAUUCACUCCUCUUCAUGGAUCAGUGGAAUUCAAUCUAAAUCAAGUUAAACAAGCGUGAUUCACAACUAGAAAUAGUGCCAUGAUGGAGCAUCGCAGAAAACUUGCCUAGGGAGACUCAGAAAUAUUGAAAACCAUCGUUUCAGUGGAUGGAUACCAAAGGAGCUUCUUUCGAUUCUCACUUUCAUAUCUUCAAACAUGAGGUACAAACUGUUUUUGACAUGGACCCACCGUCUCUUAGUGAACCAAUACGUGAUGACAUAUCACAGGUGAUCCGAAAAGUGUGGUGGUCACGGAAUUAAGUUCGGCAACGAUAAACGGUGGUUGAACACAACAAUAGUAAAGGUGGUGUGAUUCAGUGGUGACUAGCAGCGGUGGAUUCAGUGGUGAAUCAGUUGAAAAAUUCAUGAUUGGGAGCUACAUUUUUCAGUUUAAUGUAAUUUAAUAUCUACAUAAGUAACGAAACG